Molecule: long non-coding RNA, 511 nt
Filed under: Androctonus crassicauda
Lineage: Eukaryota; Metazoa; Arthropoda; Arachnida; Scorpiones; Buthidae
Source: RNAcentral
GGGGACCUAUGUCUGUCUUCCUUGGCAUGCACAGGAUGUCACACAUUGUAUUCUGUGCUCGGCGCGCCAUCUCCAUGCGGACGGAGGCAUUGUGGGGGGGUUGCUAUUAAUAACAUCAUGACUUUGCCUCCGUUUCUCUGUCUGCAUCGCUUCCAUAGUGCCGGGUCCCCUAAAAUCAUGCAGUGGUUUUACCACGGUAGCGUCUCCCCAUCGUGUAUCUGUAUCAUUCUCGAACGCUUUCGUGGUGAGAGCAGUGGUGGGCCUUCCCGUUUUGGGAUCGGCUUUGUGUUCACCAAGCCUGGCGUCUGGCCCUCUCCUCGUGCUGCCAAUGUGAAGUUGUAGCUUGGCCUCAUCGUUGUUGAGGGUCGGUGUUUCGUAUGCCCCCGCUUUUUGACCGGCCUCCAUACUAUCUUUGUCGUUGCGGAGCAGGCCAGGUAUCGUCGUUCCCCGUUUCUUCACCAUCUUUGUGGUGCCCUGCUUGAUUGCCUUGGUCAGUGCUCUAUCCGUGGAG